RNAcentral lists this ribosomal RNA (466 nucleotides) under uncultured bacterium. Its description in RNAcentral is "partial 16S ribosomal RNA". It matches the Rfam family "Bacterial small subunit ribosomal RNA", at positions 28 to 505 of the family's 1533-position model. The record is from RNAcentral.
GACGAACGCUGGCGGCGUGCUUAACACAUGCAAGUCGAACGGAAAGGCCCUGCUUUUGUGGGGUGCUCGAGUGGCGAACGGGUGAGUAACACGUGAGUAACCUGCCCUUGACUUUGGGAUAACUUCAGGAAACUGGGGCUAAUACCGGAUAGGAGCUCCUGCUGCAUGGGGGGGGUUGGAAAGUUUCGGCGGUUGGGGAUGGACUCGCGGCUUAUCAGCUUGUGGGUGGGGUAGUGGCUUACCAAGGCUUUGACGGGUAGCCGGCCUGAGAGGGUGACCGGCCACAUUGGGACUGAGAUCCGGCCCAGACUCCUACGGGAGGCAGCAGUGGGGAAUAUUGCACAAUGGGCGGAAGCCUGAUGCAGCAACGCCGCGUGCGGGAUGACGGCCUUCGGGUUGUAAACCGCUUUCGCCUGUGACGAAGCGUGAGUGACGGUAAUGGGUAAAGAAGCACCGGCUAACUACG